UACGGAGGGUGCAAGCGUUAUCCGGAUUCACUUGGUUUAAAUGGUGCGUAGGUGGGUUGAUAAGUCAGUGGUGAAAUCCCCGAGCUUAACUUGGGAACUGCCAUUGAUACUAUUGAUCUUGAAUACCGUGGAGGUCAGCGGAAUAUGUCAUGUAGCGGUGAAAUGCUUAGAUAUGACAUAGAACACCAAUUGCGAAGGCAGCUGGCUACGCGAAUAUUGACACUGAUGCACGAAAGCGUGGGGAUCAAACAGG
RNAcentral lists this ribosomal RNA (253 nucleotides) under uncultured bacterium. RNAcentral's name for it is "partial 16S ribosomal RNA". It matches the Rfam family "Bacterial small subunit ribosomal RNA", at positions 524 to 776 of the family's 1533-position model. The record is from RNAcentral.